RNAcentral lists this small nuclear RNA (104 nucleotides) under Sus scrofa (pig). Lineage: Eukaryota; Metazoa; Chordata; Mammalia; Artiodactyla; Suidae. The record is from RNAcentral. RNAcentral also lists the same sequence under 1 other name.
GUACUUGCUUUGGUAGCACAUAUACUAAAAUUGGAAUGAUACAAAGAUUAGCAUGGCCCCUAUGCAAGGUUGACAUACAAAUUCAUGAAGCGUUCUAUACUUUU